This is a non-coding RNA of Sorex araneus (European shrew), 585 nucleotides long. Lineage: Eukaryota; Metazoa; Chordata; Mammalia; Eulipotyphla; Soricidae. The record is from the annotation of a RefSeq genome assembly.
GGGUUCCUGGGGCUCCAUCCUGACUCACACAGAACCAACAUGGCGUGUGGGCUGAGCUGGCUUCUCCUGGUGGCUGUGUUAGGAGGGGUCCAGUGUGAGGUACAGCUGGUGGAGUCUGGGGGAGACUUGGUGAAGCCUGGGGGAUCCCUGAGACUCUCCUGUGCAGCCUCUGGAUUCAAUUUUGGCGGCUCUUCAAUGAACUGGGUCCGCCAGGCUCCAGGGAAGGGCCUAGAGUGGGUUUCACACAUUAAUACUGGUGGUGAUACAUACUAUGCAGACUCUGUGAAGGGCCGAUUCACCAUCUCCAAAGACAACAGCAAGAACACGCUCUCUCUGCAAAUGAGCAGCCUGAGGGAGGAGGACACGGCCCUGUACUACUGUGUGAGAGACACAGUGAGGGGAAGGCCCUGUGGGCCCAGACAAAAACCACCUGCAGGAGGAAGCAGGGAACAGCUCUUUAACCUCAUCGUCGAGAUGCAUAGUUUCAUCAAAACGUGGCAAAAUAAUUCUCACAACAUCUGGACAGUGCAGUCAACCAUGUCAACCAUGGUUGUCAGUGCUGUCAACCAUGAUGUGGAGCAAUGA